Molecule: ribosomal RNA, 432 nt
Filed under: Mahafalytenus sp. CG268
Lineage: Eukaryota; Metazoa; Arthropoda; Arachnida; Araneae; Ctenidae
Description: partial 16S ribosomal RNA
Source: RNAcentral
UUCUAUUAGAUUUAAUUAAUAGUAAAAUCUGCUCCAUGAUAAUUAAAUAGCCGCUAAACGUGCUAAGGUAGCAUAAUAAUUUGUCUUUUAAAUGAAGUCUAGAACAAAAGAUUUAACAUUUUAAUUAAUAUAUCUACUAUUAUAAUCAAACUUAUUUUAAGUGUAAAAAAACACUUAUAAAAAAGAAAGACGACAAGACCCUAUUGAACUUAACUAUAGUUAAACUGGGGUAGUUUUUUAAUUAAAAUUUUAAAUUAAUUAUAAACAAACAUCCAUUUUUAUUGAAACAUAAAUCAGUUACCAUAGGGAUAACAGCGUUAUAUUCUUUUAAAGCUCUUAUUAAAAAGAAAACUUGCGACCUCGAUGUUGAAUAACAAUCUAAUUAAAGCAAAAAUUAAUAAAGAAAGUCUGUUCGACUUUUAAAAAGUUACA